UACGAAGGUCCCAAGCGUUAUUCGGAAUUAUUGGGCGUAAAGGGCGCGUAGGCGGCCAUGCGUGUCUUCCGUGAAAUCCCUCGGCUUAACCGAGGACGUGCGGAAGAAACUGCAAGGCUCGAGUCCGGAAGAGGGGGGCGGAAUUCCCAGUGUAGCGGUGAAAUGCGUAGAUAUUGGGAGGAACACCAGUGGCGAAGGCGGUCCCCUGGGCCGGAACUGACGCUGAGGCGCGAAAGCGUGGGUAGCAAACGGG
RNAcentral lists this ribosomal RNA (253 nucleotides) under uncultured bacterium. RNAcentral's name for it is "partial 16S ribosomal RNA". It matches the Rfam family "Bacterial small subunit ribosomal RNA", at positions 524 to 776 of the family's 1533-position model. The record is from RNAcentral.